RNAcentral lists this ribosomal RNA (497 nucleotides) under uncultured bacterium. Its description in RNAcentral is "partial 16S ribosomal RNA". It matches the Rfam family "Bacterial small subunit ribosomal RNA", at positions 28 to 507 of the family's 1533-position model. The record is from RNAcentral.
GACGAACGCUGGCGGCGUGCCUAAUACAUGCAAGUAGAACGCUGAAGCGAGGAGCUUGCUCUUCUUGGAUGAGUUGCGAACGGGUGAGUAACGCGUAGGUAACCUGCCUUGUAGCGGGGGAUAACUAUUGGAAACGAUAGCUAAUACCGCAUAACAAUGGAUGACACAUGUCAUUUAUUUGAAAGGGGCAAUUGCUCCACUACAAGAUGGACCUGCGUUGUAUUAGCUAGUAGGUGAGGUAAUGGCUCACCUAGGCGACGAUACAUAGCCGACCUGAGAGGGUGAGCAGCCACACUGAGACGGAGACACGGCCCAGACUCAUACGGGGGGCAGCAGUAGGGAAUCUUCGGCAAUGGGGGCAACCCUGACCGAGAAACGCCGAGUGAGUGAAGAAGGUUGUCGGAUCGUAGAGCUCUGUUGUAAGUCAAGAACGGGUGUGAGAGUGGAAAGUUCACACUGUGACGGUAGCUUACCAGAAAGGGACGGCUAACUACGUG